GUGCCCGUAGCUCAGUUGGAUAGAGCAUCAGCCUUCUAAGCUGAGGGUCGUGAGUUCGAGUCUCGCCGGGCACGCCA
RNAcentral lists this transfer RNA (77 nucleotides) under Pseudomonadota bacterium. Its description in RNAcentral is "tRNA-Arg". It matches the Rfam family "tRNA". From Rfam's summary of the family: Transfer RNA (tRNA) molecules are approximately 80 nucleotides in length. Lineage: Bacteria; Pseudomonadati; Pseudomonadota. The record is from RNAcentral. RNAcentral also lists the same sequence under 1 other name.